AACCUCGUAACUCAAUUGGAUAGAGUAUCUGAUUACGAAUCAGAAAAUAAAGGUUCGAAUCCUUUCGAGGUUA
Molecule: transfer RNA, 73 nt
Filed under: Candidatus Shikimatogenerans bostrichidophilus
Lineage: Bacteria; Pseudomonadati; Bacteroidota; Flavobacteriia; Flavobacteriales
Description: tRNA-Arg
Rfam family: tRNA
About the family: Transfer RNA (tRNA) molecules are approximately 80 nucleotides in length. Their secondary structure includes four short double-helical elements and three loops (D, anti-codon, and T loops).
Source: RNAcentral